GUGAAUCAUCGAAUUUUUGAACGCAAAUUGCACUCUCUUCGAAGAGUAUGAGUGUUUGAGUGUCAGCCUAAAAAAAAUCGACAUACUCGCUGUUUCCCGGUUACCUUCGUCGGGCAUUGGGUCAUCUUAGACCUGUGGGUGGUAAGCGGCUUAAAAUUUUCUUUACGAUUCUACGAACGGUUCUAAGAUUUACUUACACGUUUAAGGUAUCGAUUUUUAUUAGACGUGUCCGUUGCAUCGGAUCACGUCAUUAAA
Molecule: unclassified non-coding RNA, 255 nt
Filed under: Glomus sp.
Lineage: Eukaryota; Fungi; Glomeromycota; Glomeromycetes; Glomerales; Glomeraceae
Description: partial contains 5.8S ribosomal RNA and internal transcribed spacer 2
Rfam family: 5.8S ribosomal RNA (bases 1-65)
Source: RNAcentral